GACGAACGCUGGCGGCGUGCUUAACACAUGCAAGUCGAACGGAAAGGCCCUGCUUUUGUGGGGUGCUCGAGUGGCGAACGGGUGAGUAACACGUGAGUAACCUGCCCUUGACUUUGGGAUAACUUCAGGAAACUGGGGCUAAUACCGGAUAGGAGCUCCUGCUGCAUGGUGGGGGUUGGAAAGUUUCGGCGGUUGGGGAUGGACUCGCGGCUUAUCAGCUUGUUGGUGGGGUAGUGGCUUACCAAGGCUUUGACGGGUAGCCGGCCUGAGAGGGUGACCGGCCACAUUGAGACUGAGAUACGGCCCAGACUCCUACGGGAGGCAGCAGUGGGGAAUAUUGCACAAUGGGCGGAAGCCUGAUGCAGCAACGCCGCGUGCGGGAUGACGGCCUUCGGGUUGUAAACCGCUUUCGCCUGUGACGAAGCGUGAGUGACGGUAAUGGGUAAAGAAGCACCGGCUAACUACGUGCCAGCAGCCGCGGUGAUACGUAGGGUGCGAGCGUUGUCCGGAUUUAUUGGGCGUAAAGGGCUCGUUGGUGGUUGAUCGCGUCGGAAGUGUAAUCUUGGGGCUUAACCCUGAGCGUGCUUUCGAUACGGGUUGACUUGAGGAAGGUAGGGGAGAAUGGAAUUCCUGGUGGAGCGGUGGAAUGCGCAGAUAUCAGGAGGAACACCAGUGGCGAAGGCGGUUCUCUGGGCCUUUCCUGACGCUGAGGAGCGAAAGCGUGGGGAGCGAACAGGCUUAGAUACCCUGGUAGUCCACGCUGUAAACGGUGGGUACUAGGUGUGGGGUCCAUUCCACGGGUUCCGUGCCGUAGCUAACGCUUUAAGUACCCCGCCUGGGGAGUACGGCCGCAAGGCUAAAACUCAAAGGAAUUGACGGGGCCCCGCACAAGCGGCGGAGCAUGCGGAUUAAUUCGAUGCAACGCGUAGAACCUUACCUGGGUUUGACAUGGAUCGGGAGUGCUCAGAGAUGGGUGUGCCUCUUUUGGGGUCGGUUCACAGGUGGUGCAUGCCUGUCGUCAGCUCGUGUCGUGAGAUGUUGGGUUAAGUCCCGCAACGAGCGCAACCCUUGUUCACUGUUGCCAGCACGUUAUGGUGGGGACUCAGUGGAGACCGCCGGGGUCAACUCGGAGGAAGGUGGGGAUGACGUCAAGUCAUCAUGCCCCUUAUGUCCAGGGCUUCACGCAUGCUACAAUGGCUGGUACAGAGAGUGGCGAGCCUGUGAGGGUGAGCGAAUCUCGGAAAGCCGGUCUCAGUUCGGAUUGGGGUCUGCAACUCGACCUCAUGAAGUCGGAGUCGCUAGUAAUCGCAGAUCAGCAACGCUGCGGUGAAUACGUUCCCGGG
RNAcentral lists this ribosomal RNA (1343 nucleotides) under uncultured bacterium. Its description in RNAcentral is "16S ribosomal RNA". It matches the Rfam family "Bacterial small subunit ribosomal RNA", at positions 28 to 1378 of the family's 1533-position model. The record is from RNAcentral.